This 254-nucleotide ribosomal RNA is filed under the name uncultured bacterium. Its description in RNAcentral is "partial 16S ribosomal RNA". It matches the Rfam family "Bacterial small subunit ribosomal RNA", at positions 524 to 776 of the family's 1533-position model. The record is from RNAcentral.
UACGUAGGGUCCAAGCGUUGUCCGGAUUUAUUGGGAGUAAAGAGCUCGUAGGCGGCUCGGUAAGUCGGAUGUGAAAACUCAGGGCUCAACCCGGAGACGCCAUCCGAUACUGCUGUGACUUGAGUCUGGUAGGGGAACACGGAAUACCUGGUGUAGCGGUGAAAUGCGCAGAUAUCAGGUGGAACACCGAUGGCGAAGGCAGUGUUCUGGGCCAGUACUGACGCUGAGGAGCGAAAGCGUGGGGAGCAAACAGG